CGAGGCGGGGUGCAUACCAUGCAGUCGACGGUGACUUGGAGCUUGCUCCAAGGGAUCAGUGGCGAACGGGUGAGAAACACGUGAGUAACCUGCCCCAGACUCUGGAAUAAGCGCUGGAAACGGCGUCUAAUACCGGAUACGAGACAGAGAGGCAUCUCUACUGUCUGGAAAGUUUUUCGGUCUGGGAUGGACUCGCGGCCUAUCAGCUUGUUGGUGAGGUAAUGGCUCACCAAGGCGACGACGGGUAGCCGGCCUGAGAGGGCGACCGGCCACACUGGGACUGAGACACGGCCCAGACUCCUACGGGAGGCAGCAGUGGGGAAUAUUGCACAAUGGGCGAAAGCGGUGAUGCAGCGACGCCGCGUGAGGGAUGACUGCCUUCGGGUUGUAAACCUCUUUCAGCAGGGAAGAAGCGAAAGUGACGGUACCUGCAGAAGAAGCACCGGCUAACUACGUGCCAGCAGCCGCGGUAAUACGUAGGGUGCGAGCGUUGUCCGGAAUUAUUGGGCGUAAAGAGCUUGUAGGCGGUUUGUCGCGUCUGCUGUGAAAAUCCGGGGCUCAACCCCGGACUUGCAGUGGGUACGGGCAGACUAGAGUAUGGUAGGGGAGACUGGAAUUCCUGGUGUAGCGGUGAAAUGCGCAGAUAUCAGGAGGAACACCGAUGGCGAAGGCAGGUCUCUGGCCAUUACUGACGCUGAGAAGCGAAAGCAUGGGGAGCGAACAGAUUAGAUACCCUGGUAGUCCAUGCCGUAAACGUUGGGCGGCUAGGUGGUGGGACUCAUUUCCACGAGUUCCGUGCCGCAGCUAACGCAUUAAAGGCCCCGCCU
Molecule: ribosomal RNA, 827 nt
Filed under: Janibacter sp. FAS23
Lineage: Bacteria; Bacillati; Actinomycetota; Actinomycetes; Micrococcales; Intrasporangiaceae
Description: bacterial SSU rRNA
Rfam family: Bacterial small subunit ribosomal RNA
Source: RNAcentral